GUCUAUGGCCAUACCACCCUGAACGCGCCCUAUCUCGUCUGAUCUCGGAAGCUAAGCAGGGUCGGGCCUGGUUAGUACUUGGAUGGGAGAAAAUUUAAAACAAAAAAGUCAUAGACA
RNAcentral lists this ribosomal RNA (117 nucleotides) under Felis catus (domestic cat). The record is from RNAcentral. Lineage: Eukaryota; Metazoa; Chordata; Mammalia; Carnivora; Felidae.